Molecule: transfer RNA, 52 nt
Filed under: Microbacterium sp.
Lineage: Bacteria; Bacillati; Actinomycetota; Actinomycetes; Micrococcales; Microbacteriaceae
Description: tRNA-Met
Rfam family: tRNA
About the family: Transfer RNA (tRNA) molecules are approximately 80 nucleotides in length. Their secondary structure includes four short double-helical elements and three loops (D, anti-codon, and T loops). Further hydrogen bonds mediate the characteristic L-shaped molecular structure. tRNAs have two regions of fundamental functional importance: the anti-codon, which is responsible for specific mRNA codon recognition, and the 3' end, to which the tRNAs corresponding amino acid is attached (by aminoacyl-tRNA synthetases). tRNAs cope with the degeneracy of the genetic code in two manners: having more than one tRNA (with a specific anti-codon) for a particular amino acid; and 'wobble' base-pairing, i.e. permitting non-standard base-pairing at the 3rd anti-codon position.
Source: RNAcentral
GCGGCAGGGUAGCUCAGUUGGUGAGAGCGCACGACUCAUAAUCGUGAGGUCG